RNAcentral lists this transfer RNA (73 nucleotides) under Ictidomys tridecemlineatus (thirteen-lined ground squirrel). RNAcentral describes it as "Spermophilus tridecemlineatus (thirteen-lined ground squirrel) tRNA". It matches the Rfam family "tRNA". Rfam says of the family: Transfer RNA (tRNA) molecules are approximately 80 nucleotides in length. Their secondary structure includes four short double-helical elements and three loops (D, anti-codon, and T loops). Further hydrogen bonds mediate the characteristic L-shaped molecular structure. tRNAs have two regions of fundamental functional importance: the anti-codon, which is responsible for specific mRNA codon recognition, and the 3' end, to which the tRNAs corresponding amino acid is attached (by aminoacyl-tRNA synthetases). tRNAs cope with the degeneracy of the genetic code in two manners: having more than one tRNA (with a specific anti-codon) for a particular amino acid; and 'wobble' base-pairing, i.e. permitting non-standard base-pairing at the 3rd anti-codon position. The record is from Rfam by way of RNAcentral. Lineage: Eukaryota; Metazoa; Chordata; Mammalia; Rodentia; Sciuridae.
GGGGAUAUAGCUCAGUUGGUAAAGUGCUUGCCUUGCAUGCAUAAGACCCAGGGUUCAAAUCCUGGCACCCCUC